Small nucleolar RNA from Ictalurus punctatus (channel catfish), 77 nucleotides. Lineage: Eukaryota; Metazoa; Chordata; Actinopteri; Siluriformes; Ictaluridae. The record is from Ensembl.
CUGCAAUGAUGUUUUGAAUUUCUUCACCUGAAUGCACCAUGAAGAUCAAAAUAACGAGCUUUUUAACCCUGAGCAAC